GCCCAGGUGGUGGAAUUGGCAGACACAGGGGAUUUAAAAUCCCCCGGACGGUUACGUCCUUGCGGGUUCGAGUCCCGCUCUGGGUA
This 86-nucleotide transfer RNA is filed under the name Allorhodopirellula solitaria. It matches the Rfam family "tRNA". From Rfam's summary of the family: Transfer RNA (tRNA) molecules are approximately 80 nucleotides in length. Their secondary structure includes four short double-helical elements and three loops (D, anti-codon, and T loops). Lineage: Bacteria; Pseudomonadati; Planctomycetota; Planctomycetia; Pirellulales; Pirellulaceae. The record is from Rfam by way of RNAcentral.